This 1423-nucleotide long non-coding RNA is filed under the name Marmota monax (woodchuck). Lineage: Eukaryota; Metazoa; Chordata; Mammalia; Rodentia; Sciuridae. The record is from RNAcentral.
GGCUGAGGUAGGAGGAUUGCAAGUUUGAAAUUAGCCUCAGCAACUUAAGGAGGCCUUAAGCAACUUAGUGACACCAUGUCUCAAAAUUAAAUACAUUGGGUUUGUGGCUCAGUGAUAAACAUCUCUGGGUUCAAUCUCCUGUACCAAAACAAUAAAUAAACAAAAAAAAAAUUUUUUUCUUAAGCAUAUGGCAAUGCUAGAUCAAGGGAUAUUUUGUUUUACCAUAUAAUUGCCAAUUGACUUCAAAUUUGCUUGUAAUUUUUAUUCUCACACUCAGUCUCUGAGAACUUGGAAUGAAAUUGCAAAAUAUCUACAUUUGACUCUCUGGAGAUGUUUGUUUGAGUAGAACCAGGCUGGAAAUUCCUUGCCUCUUUGAAGGUGGAGAGUGAGCCUCCUUGUCUGUCCCAGAGGCUUCUAGAUUUUACCAUGUAAGGCUAUGAACUAGGUAGCAAUUAAAAUUGAAUUUUAGACACUUUUUAAGAUGUGGAAGAUGUUCAUAGCACAAUGUGAAGUUUAAAAGAAGCAAGACAAAAAUUUAUUUUAUACCAGAUCCUAAUUUUGUUAAUGUGCAUGUAUUUAGGAAAGGGCAGAAGAAAUAUUAACAGUAAUAACCGUGAUUAUGAGGUUUUUUGUUUUUCCUUUUUUAUUAUUUCAUUUUCUAAGUUUCUUUAGAAACUGAUUUUUGUAAUUAGAGGAAGUGAAGUGUUAAGAUAAACCAUGUUAAACAAAUGAUAAACUUCAAGUCUUUACAAAAUUCCCAAACUCCCAUAUCUAAACGAGUAGAUUCAAAUAAUUACCACCUCUGCUGUUUAGUUUGGAAAUAAUACAUGUUCAGAGGUGGGUCAUUACUAGUUAUUGUUUCAGUCCCUAUUUCUAUUCCUACUCCAGUGGUGAGGGGAAUGAUCAUAUGAGUCUCAAGGAUUCACCUUAAUUCCAUGUCACCUUUCAAGGUUGAGUAUCAAACUGAUAACCAAGAACCCAUUUUAUCAGACUAGCACUGUGAGCUGUAAGAGUGCAAAUCUUUCUAGCAAAAACUAGAAAUUGUCCAUCACUAGAAGACUAACUAAAUAAACAACAAACUACUAUCAGACAUUAAAAAACAUUAUGCACUCAUAAUACUGACAUGCAAAGAUCUACAAGUUAUAAUUUCAAAAGAAAAUCAAAUUUGUAAAACAUAAUUUAAGAGUAUGAAACUGUUUCAAUCAAUAUCUAUCUAUCUACAAACCAUGCACAUAAAUGCACAGAAAAUUUUGGUAAGAUAUUCCUCAAAUGAUGACUAGUUUCUGAGAACAGAAGCAAGAUUUUGACAUGUAUUAAAAGAGGACUAUUUAGCUGUGUGGUGACACACAUCUGUAAUCCUGGCUAUUUGGGAGGCUGAGGCAGGAAGAUCACUAGUUUGAGGCCAGUUUCAGCAACUUAGCAA